Molecule: long non-coding RNA, 155 nt
Filed under: Canis lupus familiaris (dog)
Lineage: Eukaryota; Metazoa; Chordata; Mammalia; Carnivora; Canidae
Description: lncRNA (ENSCAFG00845020505.1)
Source: RNAcentral
GCUAUGCUUUUCUUUUUCUCUUUGCUUCCCUUUUUUCAGGUGUCAAGUUUUCGAAGGACAAAAAAAAAAAAAGGCUUAUCUUCUUUUGAGGAGUCUGAAGAAAUGUUUACUAUCAAGGAUAGAGAGCCCGGAAGAGUGGCUGUUUUUGAGCAACU